UACAGAGGUCUCAAGCGUUGUUCGGAGUUACUGGGCGUAAAGGGUGUGUAGGCGGUUUUUUAAGUUUGGUGUGAAAUCUCCCGGCUCAACUGGGAGGGUGCGCCGAAUACUGAAAGACUAGAGUGCGGGAAAGGAAAGUGGAAUUCCUGGUGUAGCGGUGAAAUGCGUAGAUAUCAGGAGGAACACCGGUGGUGUAGACGGCUUUCUGGACCGUAACUGACGCUGAGACACGAAAGCGUGGGUAGCAAACAGG
RNAcentral lists this ribosomal RNA (253 nucleotides) under uncultured bacterium. Its description in RNAcentral is "partial 16S ribosomal RNA". It matches the Rfam family "Bacterial small subunit ribosomal RNA", at positions 524 to 776 of the family's 1533-position model. The record is from RNAcentral.